ACUUAAGUAGUUUAAUAUAAAAUGUCGAUUUGUGGUGUCGGUGAUAUAACUUGUUAUCUUAGGUU
RNAcentral lists this transfer RNA (65 nucleotides) under Panchlora nivea. RNAcentral's name for it is "tRNA-His". Lineage: Eukaryota; Metazoa; Arthropoda; Insecta; Blattodea; Blaberidae. The record is from RNAcentral.